UUAAUCGAAGCAGAUUUUAUGCGAUUAACUGUUAAUUAAUAAGAAGCUUUUUAAAAGUCGUUUAAA
This 66-nucleotide transfer RNA is filed under the name Ampullaceana balthica. RNAcentral's name for it is "tRNA-Asn". The record is from RNAcentral. Lineage: Eukaryota; Metazoa; Mollusca; Gastropoda; Lymnaeidae. RNAcentral also lists the same sequence under 1 other name.